This is a small nucleolar RNA of Dioscorea cayenensis subsp. rotundata (Guinea yam), 107 nucleotides long. The record is from RefSeq and is a predicted model, not a curated record. Lineage: Eukaryota; Viridiplantae; Streptophyta; Magnoliopsida; Dioscoreales; Dioscoreaceae.
AAGCCAUGGUGAGGGCAUCUUUAUAGGAGGUCCUUGAAUCUCUCAUGAGCUUUAAAGAACAUCUCAAACUCUCUUUGACUGAAUGCUGAAAUCUCCUGCCUCAGUCU